GAUGAACGCUGGCGGCGUGCCUAAUACAUGCAAGUCGAGCGAACAGACGAGGAGCUUGCUCCGCUGACGUUAGCGGCGGACGGGUGAGUAACACGUGGAUAACCUACCUAUAAGACUGGGAUAACUUCGGGAAACCGGAGCUAAUACCGGAUAAUAUAUUGAACCGCAUGGUUCAAUAGUGAAAGACGGUUUUGCUGUCACUAAUAGAUGGAUCCGCGCCGCAUUAGCUAGUUGGUAAGGUAACGGCUUACCAAGGCAACGAUGCGUAGCCGACCUGAGAGGGUGAUCGGCCACACUGGAACUGAGACACGGUCCAGACUCCUACGGGAGGCAGCAGUAGGGAAUCUUCCGCAAUGGGCGAAAGCUUGACGGAGCAACGCCGCGUGAGUGAUGAAGGUCUUCGGAGCGUAAAACUCUGUUAUUAGGGAAGAACAAAUGUGUAAGUAACUAUGCACGUCUUGACGGUACCUAAUCAGAAAGCCACGGCUAACUACGUG
RNAcentral lists this ribosomal RNA (497 nucleotides) under uncultured bacterium. Its description in RNAcentral is "partial 16S ribosomal RNA". It matches the Rfam family "Bacterial small subunit ribosomal RNA", at positions 28 to 507 of the family's 1533-position model. The record is from RNAcentral.